Molecule: long non-coding RNA, 2955 nt
Filed under: Homo sapiens (human)
Lineage: Eukaryota; Metazoa; Chordata; Mammalia; Primates; Hominidae
Description: HSALNT0117759
Source: RNAcentral
CUUCUCGCAGGCGGCGCGCUUGCUGGGUCACAGUGAGGCGGCUCCGCGCAGGCGCAGCCGGGCGGGCGAGGAGCGGGGAAGCUGACUCAGGGCUGCGGCCGGGGUCCUGCGGGGUAGGAGCGCGAGGCCGGCCUGAGGGAGGAGGCCUAGCGACCCAUCCGGCGCCUCCCGCCCCGGGCACCCGCCCGCGGCCGCGCAUCCUGCGGGCCCCAGGAGGCCUCCAUCUCAAAACAACGUGUUUUUAGGCUCUGCCCAGGCCCGGACUCCCACCUUUCAAGAUGUCUGGAUCAGUGCAGGACCUCCUCCUUGGCCACAUCGCUCUCCUUGGACUGGUUCGUUAACCCUGUGUUCAAGUGAUUCUCCCACCUCAGCCUCCCAAGUAGGAUUACAGGUACACACCACCACGCACAGCUAAUUGUUUUGUAUUUUAGGAAGAGAUGGGGUUUCAUCAUGUUAGCCAGGCUGGUCAGGUGAUCCAUCCGCCUUGGCCUCCCCAAGUGCUGGGAUUACAGGCGUGAGGCACUGUGCCCGGCCUGCCCCCCUUUUCUCUUGAUGUAAGUGGACAUUUUAAUCCAUAAUCUGUAACAUUUAUGUAUUAAGUUUACUACUAUCUUUGGUUUGCAGUGUUGACUCACCUGUGGAGUGGUCUGAGCCUGAAUGCCCGGGGCUGUGGCCACCGAGUGAACGGGCUGUGCUAAGGGGAAUUGCCACCUUGGGAAACCUGUGUAGUUGCGGCUUUUCUGAUUAAGUAUCAAUAAAAGUCUGACCUUGUGAAAAAAGCAAACGUGAGUGGCCCUGCUUAUGUUUCACCUUGCGUUGCUCAGUGAUAGUUCUGCAAAGUCGCAGGAAACCUGGAAUCAUCUAAUUAUCGUGAGUGUUGGCACAUGACAGCCUUCUUGCAAUCAAGAAACUACGUGUGGCCAGGAUCUCAUCCACUAUCACAGUUUCAGCUUUCCCCAAACUGGAAUGUGUCUUUGCAGACGCCCAUCCUUAUUAAAGGGCAAAGACUUCUCAUACACCUAGGAUGGAUCUUAUAUUCUUGGCGGGACUGCAGAGAAGGUGCCGUGUCCUGAGUCCUCAUGUCAGGGCACAGGCUUCCAGCCAGUUCUACCUGGGUUAUGUUUAUCUCAAUUCCCUGGUGGUAUUGGUGUCUGCUGGGUUUUGCCAGAAUGAAGACACCGUGUUUUCAUUUGUCAGUUGAUUCGUAUUUUCCAGGAAGACAUUCUGAGAUUACAGCAUUGUCUUAGUCAAGGUGCUGCAGAAGGACAGAACUAAUAGGAUAUAUGUACAUAUGAAAGAAAGUUUAUGAAGAACUGGCUCACACCAUCACAAGGCAAAGUCCCAUGACAGGCCAUCUGCAAGCUGAGGAGCGAGGAAGCCAGCAGUGGCUCAGCCGGAGUCCAACAGCCUCAAACGGAAUCCAACAGUUCAGGCUUCAGUCUGUGGCCAAAUGCCCAGAGACCCCGGAAAGCUACUGGUGUUAGUCCCAGAGCCGGAAGGCCAAAGAACCUGGAGUGUGAUGUCCAAGGGCAGGAGGAAUGGACAGAAGCAUCCAGCAUGGGGUAAAGACGAAAGCCAGAAGACUCAGCAAGCUAGCUUACCUACUUUCUUCUGCCUGCCUUGUUCUAGCCGCGCUGGCAGCCGGUUGGAGGGUGCCCACCCCCACUGAGGGUGGAUCUUCCUCUCCUAGUCCACUGACUCAAAUUUCAGUCUCUCUGGGAGCACCAUCACACCAGAAACAAUACCAGCCAUCUAGCCACCCUUCAGUUCACCAUCACAACCAUUGUCUUAUUCAUGAAACUUCUGCAGACCCACCUUAACCUCCAUCGGUGACUUCUACCUGAAGCCCUCUGAUUGUUGCCCAGUGGUGCUUUUUAAAAUAAUUUCCAUAGUUUCUUCUACACCUUUAGUUGGCAUUCUACUGUAAAGGAGAGAUUUUAUUUUCUUACUCAUUUAUUUGUUAGUUUAUAGUCACCACCAUAUGGAUGCAGAGUUCUGUCUCAUUCACUGGGAAGUAUUCUAUUGCAGUCAUGAUUUAUUUUGAUGUUCACAUCCCAGAGUUGGUGAGUGAGCGCCCCUUCACGCUGGCUCCCGAGUGCUGACGUGUCCCCGUCCUUCUCUGCACUUUUCCUUACCUCCUGGCCUCAGAUAUUCCAGGGUCAUUUGUUCUCUCCCUGCUCCAACCCUGCAGUCAGCCAUCUCCCUAGGGACGUUGGUUCCUUUAUGGAAGGUGGCAUUUAGAAGCCAGGAUUUGGGCUGAGCACUGUGGCUCAUGCUUGUAAUCCCAGCACUUGGGGAGGCCGAAGUGGGCGGAUCGCUGGAGGCCAAGAGUCUGAGACCAGCCUGGCUAACAUGGUGAAACCCUUCCCCGUCUCUACUACAAAUAAAAAAUUAGCUGGGUGUGUUGGCACGUGCCUGUAAUCCCAGUUACUCAGGAGGCUGAAGCACCAGAAUCUCUUGAACCCAGGAGGCCGAGGUUGCAGUGAGCCAAGAUUGCACCACUGCACUACAGCUUGGGUGACAGCGCGAGACACCGUCUCAAAAAGGAUAAUAAUUUAAAAAACAGCAGGAUUUGGGUGAGCAGUGCGCUCAUUGCUUCUGGGCUCUCUCGGUGGACAUAGGCUAGGAAUGUAAGAUGUAUGUGCCUGUGUAUAUACACACGUCUGUAGCUAUGUCUAUGUUGCAUACAUGUGUUUUUCCAAAAACCAAAUCCAUAACCAUGCCUUCAGUUUCAGCCCAACACCUCCGGGCUCUUUCUAGCUUUCUACCUUUCAUGAUUGUGAAUACCUUCUCCAGCAGUGAGAAACCUGGCUCCUUUGUCCUCAGUGGAUUUUCUUAUUUGCUCAAUUUUUUUGUUUUUUGUUUUGUUUUUGUUUUUGAGACAGAGUCUUGUUCUGUCACCCAAGCUGGAGUGCAGUGGCAUAAUCUCGGCUUACCGCAACCUCUGCCUCCUGG